CCUUCAUAUACAUGUAAGACAACACGUUAAGUAAUAAUUCCUGUCUUUGAAAAAGUUUCUGCACAUUCAUUUGCAUGAAUAAAUAACCUAUAACACAUAAAAUACUUGUAUUUUAUCAGUAGAAACUACCCUAUUACCAGCAUACAUGAUCAUCCUGUUCUAUGUGUCCACAGAAAAAGAAAGGGAAAAUUUACAACUCCAAGUUUUUCUGUCUGAUCUUACCAACUGUUUGGGCCAGAUGUACCCUCAACUAAUAUAUAGAUUCUGUACUAGACAUAUCCAAUGGAAAACAAAAGGAAAGGGAAUAAAGAUUUACAACUGCAAGAUCUUUGGUUCGUCAUGCAACUGAGAGUGCAGUCACCCACCAUGCCGUGGGAGCCGCCUUUUAUACAAAUGACCAGGGCAAGAAGCUAGGAGAGUAAUAGUCGACAUUAUGAGCAGUGAGAUUUCUAUGGUUGCAUAAUUAAAUAUUUUUCCUUUCCUAGUGAAGAACUGGACAGAACAAGUUGUUCGCGGAAGUGGAAAGGAAAUCAGAGGUCGUAGUUUUAACAGCGAGGCAAUCCAUGUGGCCUUGUUGGAUAAUGUGGAAAACAGUUUUCCUUGAUGUUGAUGGAAACUUGUGCAUCCGAACUUUAUUGGCGAAGCACCAGAAACCAGCUCUUUUACAUCACCUUUUUCUUCUCAUGAUGACCUAGAUCCCUGUGAUACAAUCAUACAGCUUGUCAUUGCACAAGGAAAAUCAUGCAUCAAUGUCAGCCAGCGUUCAGGUAAUAAAAAUUGAUUCUCUCAAAAUAAGCCUCGGUUUCUUUCCUUUUUCUUUUUUCGUUUUUCUUUCUAAAAACAUGUUUAAAAAUUGUACUCUCAGAAGCUUCUGGUUUGGUUCAGUGGGUCAUAAUCAUAAGCAUCACCAGCUUUGACAAAUCGCCCCUUCACGCGUCUUCUUACAUCAGCCCUUGCUUUGCGGGAGGCAUACCUCACUUUCUUCUCAAACCUGUAACAGAAUUAGCCAUGCCAUGAAAUAUUCAUGUCGUUUGAGUGGCAGAACAAUAUCUAUAGGAAACUGAAAAUUAAACAAGAGUUACAGCUAAAAACAUCCAUUUUAGUUACAAUCCAGAGUUUGAAAUACAGCCAAAAACAUCCAUUUUAAUUACAGUCCAGAGUUUGAAAAUGUUUCUGUAGAUAAUAAAAAGAGGUGAACAGAUAAACAUGCACUAUCUAUAUUACUGUGUUUUUUCUGAAUAAUUUUUUCCCCAACCAUUAGUGAUUAGACACCUUCAAAGAUGGUUCAGAGAUUAAAGCCUUCACUUAAGUCUGAAGCCAAAACAGGAGCUUCAAGAAAAAACAACCAUAUUAUCAGCCGAGAAAUCAGAUGCACAAAUGUGUCUUUACACAUGAAUUACAAACACUUUAAGUAAAAGACACAGACAUGCUUAUCAUCACUCGAGCACUUAAAUUAUCUAGUUCUUGCAAGUUAUAAGAUAUUCGUCAGACUGAAUUUUACAGUCAUGUAAAAAAUUUCAUUAACUGAAACACGAAAUGUUAGAAUAUGUAAAUAAAGAGAAGACAAAACAUGAAACUCUCAACUUCUUAAAGGCACGUAAAACAUACAUAUAUAUACAACAAACAAAUUAGUCGAGCUAAUGACAUUUUAAGGAUUACUAUACAAAGUGGCCAAUGUAGUAAUUCCAAGUGAAGAUUGUGAGAAUGAAUAUCCUAAACAGAGUUCUGAUAUUAUUGUGUAGGUAGUAUACUUACAUGCGUGUCUUCUUCUUUUCCUUGUAUCGCAUUACAGCAUUACUUCGGUUAGAUGAUGGGCAUGAACUCUCCGGGCAUGGGGGACACCAUGGAGGUUCUCCCAUGAAAAGCAUUGAAGAAGCUCCACAAUCUUGAUAAUCUCCAACACUACUCUCUCCAGUAAGGCCAGAAAAUGAGAGGCUUGAAUGCCCUUGCCUUGUUGUAAAACAAAGGAUUGGUUCUGUUUUAGUACUCAUCAUGGAAUCAGCAGAUGCUGCAUUGCUGCAUGCUGGCUGCAUUGCAUUAACCAGUCCAACCGACGAUCCCUGGAGAAAUCUAACCAUAAGCAUUUUAAGUAUGAACUCAUAAAUGCCUACUGCUACCAAUGUCCCAAAGGCAACUGUAAGACAAACAGAUCUUGAAUAGAAUUAACGAUCAAAUUAUCAUACAAAUAAAUAAGGGAAAAAAUUGUGUUUGUGAGUUAGCUUGGCUAAUGGUUUCUUUUAAGAAAUACAAAUCAAAUGUAUGUUAAAAAUCCAAAAUAUUAAUGCUCAAAGUCUCAGAUGGCACUUGAACUGCAUAUACAUAACCAAAAUUAACCGUAUUAACAAAUAUUGCCAACAGUAUCUUUUAUGAUGAAAGAGAACAAAAAAAAAAAGGUGCAUGUACAUGCAUAUAAAAAGAGAGUUUCAUAUUAGAUGUUCUGACUUGUGAGAAAAACGUAAUGCCCAUCCUAAAGCCACAAUCUAACACCAUAUAUAAUUAACAGGAUGCAAUAUCUGCAUUCAAUGACCAUGAAAGAAAAGAAACUUAAAGAAGAUUACUACAAUGCUGUUCUUAAGUCAGUCUAGUCAGGAACUAAGGUUGCAUCAAAGUAAAUGGAAAACACUUUCUGCACAGGUGCAUCCACAUAUUGACAAUAUGAACUUAGCACCUUUUUUUACAAUUAAAUCCAAUUCUAUUAAGUUGAUCAAUUAGGUUCAUAGUCUUAUAGUUGUAUCCUUUGUUAACUGUUCAAAAUUGUCCUUAAUUUGUUAAUGUGGACUUUAAGCACGAGAUGUGUGCGAACUACACGAUAUUGAGAAGCAUAUUAAGAAUGUACUUCACCUCCCUAGAGCAUACAUAAUUUGACAAUAGAAAUCUUAUGUAACAGUGUUUCAUCUAAUUUAAUAGCCGCAUAUGCUUUGGGUAGUGAAGUUCAUGUCACAUCACCUUGUUCUCAAAACAAUGAGUUGAUCAGUCCUGCUUAGUUUCAAUAUUGACAACUUAAUGGUAAUUUUGGAUAAAGUAAUAACUAAAAACGUGGUUGGAACGCUAAUUAAAGUUUGUUAUCUGAAUUGAUAAAAUAAGAAAAGGAUAUAAUUGUAAAAGUGCUAAAGUUUUCCACAUAUUUCAUUUAGUAAAUUCAUUUGACUUAGUUGAAAUUCUGUAAAACCCCCUUCCUUACUUAACACACACACACACACACAAUUGCACAUGUAUUUGGGUAUUUAUUAAGCCUUUGCGAACUUGUUUUAAUAAUUUUCUAGACACAAUUGGGAUAUGGAAAAAUAUCACACACUUCCGUUGGAACUACUCUCUUCUAUCAUUUGUCAACAAAAAAUGAAGCCGAAUUAUUUUUUGAACAGAUCAAGGGGGAUGAAACAUACAUACCAUUUGAACCACAGAAUGAGACACAAGAAGCUAAACAAAUGAAAGGGCCAUGCCAAUUAAGAUGUAUGAGCAGCAUAAACAUAGGACAAGAAGAGAGAACCUCAGCAGCCACUGCACCCUGACAGUUGGAAUCGGCUGCGGACAUGUCCUUUGACCCAAACAAGCUCUCAAUUCCACCAUUCUCAAAAAGCUCUUCUGAAUUAUUGAGGGUAACACCAAAGAGUUCUUCAUAGUUUUCAAGAUUCAAAUCCACUUCAUCCAUAUUGAAGUCCUUGUAAAGAUCAUCAUCUUCACAAAGUGCGGGACCUUUAGUUCCAGGACAGCAUAACUUUAGCAAAGGCGCAUUUACAGAUCCCACUGGCUGCUCUGGAUUGUUUGGCAUAGAGAUUAAUUCAGGCACUGAAGAAGUUCCACCAUAAACACCUGAUUUAGCUAUAUCUGCCUCAUCAACAGUAACAGUACUGGAUGCAUUUUGUUUAGUUGUGUUCUCAGGACCCCAAGCCCUACUAGAGCUAUUUUCAAUGAUGCUCAUCAAUCCCAACUCCUGCUCACAAGUAGCUUCACCAACAGAAGGGAAGUCCAAAAUAAACGACCAUAAUGAAGAAAGUUCAGAAGCUGAUGGACAGCCAGUGUAACAAUUGAUGGUUUGCCUUUUAUGGUUGGUAAUUGAGGAAGAGGUGCCAUGAACCAUCCAAUCACAAUUUUGACAAAGAGAGAUCCUCUCUUCAGCACAUCUAAUUAAUGCGGGUUGUGCACUGCAUCUUUCACAUACGAGGGUUCGUGAAUGCCUUUUGGACAAAGCAUUAGCUGAGUGCACAUUUCGAUCACACGACAAACAUAAACAUGCAGCAUCUGACCUGCAGUAGACCAUGGACCUCUGAUCCCCACAAAAAUCACAAAUGUAACCCAUGUUCCAACUUAGAUUUCUCUCUAGACUGUUUAAAUCCAAACCAAAAUCAGAUGUCAGCCAAGGAAAAUCAGCUUCUUUGAUGCAGCACAAUUCCACUGAGGGCUUUUACAAGCAUAUGAAGAAACAAGAUCUGCAAAAGUGGUUUCAAUUAUAGUAUAAGAUUUACAAGGAGAAGAAGAAGAAAGAAAUCAUAGAACAGAGAAAGCUAUCUGUGAAAUCAGUCUCUGAGAGUUUCCUCUUCUAUCUAAUGCAUAAAAUAAAAUUAAAAAAAAAAUUGGAGAAAAAAAGAGAACGAAAUAGGAAGAGAUGGAUAGAUAAUGGGUGG
Molecule: unclassified non-coding RNA, 4622 nt
Filed under: Hevea brasiliensis (rubber tree)
Lineage: Eukaryota; Viridiplantae; Streptophyta; Magnoliopsida; Malpighiales; Euphorbiaceae
Source: RNAcentral